UUGUUGUUGCUGGUUGCUCUUGUCGUGCUUGUUCAGGUCUGGCACGACGGCGACAGCACACGAGUGGAUUACCUACGAAAGGGACAGCGAGAGAACGCGACAGUUGACCAGCUCAAUCCUUGGGUGAAGACAAAAGGAGGGGUGGGCAUUUGUAUCCCUUGCAUACACAUACUCACCGGAGUGCACACAUUGGCAUUGGUGCGCCCACCACCCCCGCCCUACCCACGGGCUGUUCCUCUCCCGUUGCCCUAUCGCUCUGGCCAUAUUGCCUGUGAGUGACUGUAUGUGUCUUCCUUUCGUUCUUGUAGAGCAGAUCAAAUCGCGUUUCUCUGCAUCGUGCCCGCAGACACGCAUACAUACGUACAAGCACACAUCGUCUCUCGGCUAUCGCUGCAAAGAAGUAGAGAGGAGGGGGGGCUAAAACGUACGACAUACAUAACGGAAGGCUAUAUACGGCCGCAUCCAGCUGCGGCUUCGAUCUCCACCAUCUUACACCGCCACCCACGCCCGAUUCCCGACAUCGUCUCGUCCUCUUUCAAUUGCCGCACGCACACACACACAUUCUAAAGGUGUUUGAUUUUGUUGGCUGGUUUCUGUUUCUUGGCUGGUCUCCUUUUCUCUGUGUAUUUCUUCUCCCCUCUUUCACUUCAUUUGCACCUCAUUGUGUUAGCCUGCCUGUAGCAUUCAUGGUGACGGAUCUCUCUCUUGUUUUCGCUGUCGUACCCCUCUCCUCUUCCUCUACAUUCGCUCCCGUAUUCUUCUUGCGUCAUCUUCAUUGUUCUCUGUCUCUGUAACUCUCUCUCCCUGCUCUGUGAUGUGUUGGCGUCGUCCUGGUUCGCGACGCUCCCUCCCCCCCCCUCUCUUGCAUAUCCUCUGCUCUACGAGCGUCAUUUCCUUCGAAGCCCGUCUCACCGGCCUUUCUCUGGUUUUCGUUGUUCUUCUGGUGAGUUGUGGAGUGGCGAGUCUGACUGUGUUACGGGAGGACUGCAGUGGGCCGCGUUUUCUUUGUUUUUUCGUUUUUUUCUCUGAGGAGUGUGUGUGUUUCCUUCGCGGCAUCAUCCGCGUGUUGUGGAGAUUAGUCUCACGGAGCCAUCACACGCACAGACGCAAGUAACUCGCAUACCAUGUCCGCACGUCGUGCAAGCUCCCAACAUCGCGACCGGCCUCAGUCGUCCUCGCGCCGGCGCUACUAUGAAGACGAGGACUACAUGCAGCCGAGAGAUGAGCGCACGUCACACCCAACGCUUCAUUGGCACCAUUCGUCCCCGCAGCAGAAACCGCACCGACCCAGCAGCGCGUCGAAGCAGCGCAAAGGACUUAGUCAUGUCUCGCGAGAGCUGCAUCAGUACCUCAAGGAUGACCACGCGCCAGAGGACGGAGUGCCGCCUCUGCGUCGGCAGAGCACACAGCCACCGCGCCGCCGCAGCUCGCCAACAUGUCACUACAACGGGGGCAACGGCGGAGAAAGGGUCUGCCACCGACGAGCUGUAUCGUUAACGAGUCCCCGUCGCCGCUCGACGCCGCACAGACGUCGCUCGUCCUCUCGUCAUGCCGCAUCGGUGUAUCCUGCUUUGAGGACUGCCCCCGUAGCUGUUGGGGAUGGUAAACGAGCGUCUCCGCGUCGCUCUGCUCGCACCUCCACUGACGGCACACCUCGUCGUAGCCGACGCCAACACGAGCCGUCGCACGUUGGCUAUGACAGCGUGGCGCGCAGUCCUCGCCAACGUCACCGUCGCUCUUCCGCAAGCCCGCACCGCUCUCACACAUCAAAAGAGUCGCCUAUUCACCCCGAGCGCCGCGCCCCAUCCUCCUCACGUAAGUCACGGCAUGCAUCCACCGAGCCGCAUGCGCGUAGCUCCCAAGGCAGUGUCCGGUGCCACCGCCACUCACACACGACAAGUUCGACAGCGCCUGCACCAGCAACGGAGGCAGCACACCGGCACGAUGCGCUGCGGUACCGCAGUUCCCGUCAAGCCGAGGUGGCUGCCAAGCGUGAGGCGACACCGCACCGCUCUCGCCGGAACAGUCGAGCGAAAGCGGGCGGAAGCGCAGAGAAGGAAGCUCGCAGCCCGCGUCGGCAUACCAGUGUACACCGCAGUCGUAGCUCUCGGCCGGAGUCUAGGCACCAUUCCAAGCGGCGCCAUCGCCAUCAUCGCACCUCGACUCCUAACUCCGUGGAUGAGGGAAGCCGUCACCCUCGUCACACGUCCCUCUUCCGCCCACUAGCAGAGGACCCGUACACGGCGCCGCCGCCCCUAACCGGGUCCACGUAUAUCCGCUCCGCAGCCGACAGCCACACGACUGGCCGCCCUCGCUCUGGCUCCCACAUUGAGGUGAUCAGCGUGCACUCAGCGUGCCAGGUGCCGGCUAACGGAUGGUCGCACUCCUGCUCCAACACAGCUCACUCCCCUCGCCGGCCCUACGACAACGGCCCGCCGGUGGUGAUUCCUAGCCCACGAGGACAGCAGAUCAUGCAGCGCAUCGACUCCACCCGCCACUGGUUACAGAACAUGAAGGACGAGGUGAAGAAAGUCCGUGAGCGGGAGCUUCAGCAAGUAGAAGAUGUCGCACGCUCGCGUGCGACUCGGCACAGUGCGCGUAAGGAGUACCUCGACUCCACCUCACCCGCUGGCAGCGCAUGUCGGCAUCGCACCUCGUCCACCGGCUCGCGCCGGCACACGCGCGGGGAGACCCACGCAGCUGUGCAGGUGACAAGCCGCCAGGACGCGGGUGAGGCGAUUCCGCCGACGGCGUCCUCGGAGCGGUCUCAUCGUGCAUCCGAGCAGGUAUCGCCCCCAACCCGUGAGAAGCGGCACCGCAGCAGCCAGUGGCAUCUUCGUCGGCCGACGGCUCCAGCCGCUGCUCCUCGCGCCCCAGCCCCGGACCCAGACCUGUUCAGGGCACUGAUGGACUCCGUCAGCAGCUCUCGCGAGGAGGGGAUUGAUUACCCGAUCUUAUCCUUCAUGUCCUUCUUGGACGGCAACACGUUCGACAGCACCGCCAGUCUAUGCCAGUACAACGUCGACCUCGCCGACAGCCUUAGCGACCAGCACCUUGACAUUCUGCGCGCGGCCGUUUUCGACCACGACGAAGAAGCCUUUGCAGAGCUGCUCUACGGCGAUGAUGUAGAGGCGGAGAUUGGCGGUGCUGCGGCGGCGCUGGGCCACAGCGAUGACCCGACGGUGCAGCACGAGCUUGUUGUGCUCCAGCGGGAAGCCGUGCGGCGGUUUAAUGAUAAGUGCGCCAAAGCACUCCAGGCGCUGUUAUCAGCAGAGGGUGGUCUAGCAGAAGCGGUACAGGUGGCUGCUUCGCAGUUGGAGCGCCAAGCGUACCAAGCGGACGGAUCUUUGGUGAUUGUGCCGUGAAGUCGUGCUGGUGCAUGUGAGUGAUGGUGAUGACUCGGUUUCGAGGGAAAGAGAGAGCAGAUGAAGGCACACCACUCCUGUCAGCUGCGAAGGCUUCAAGAGCGUUUCUGCCGCAUCUAGCCCCGUGGACGCCGUCAUCUUUUUUUCGAACACACCUCCCGUGGGGUCGCGUUCGCAGCUCUCUCACUCUCUGCCGUGGACUGUAUGUUGCGGUGCCACACAACUGUGGCUUGGGUGUUGUGGAUAUCAUUACUUCUUUUCCCUUUAUAAAUCUCAGCGCGUCCAUACACACGUGAGCGCCCCUCUCGUAUAUGUACACUAGGAAAGGUGUGCCCACAUGAGGGGGAAAGGGGAGGAAAACACCGGAGCGUGUGCGUUGAGGUUAUGGGGGAGGGGGUGUUGGCCAUGGCAGGCAAGGGCCGAGGCUGGAGGAAGGUGCCGUAUCGCCGGCUCCUCUCCCAUCUCUGCCUGCGUGUGGGUGGGUGUGUCCGGUGUUGUUUUCAGCACUGCCGAACUCGCUGUGCUUCGCCUGCCCCACCACCACGCCCUCCUCCUCCCUAAAUGUGCAAAUAUAAUGGUGGUAAUGGCGGCCGAAACCCAUCGAUUGUUCAGUACAUAGUCAUUUUCUUUGUGUGUGCGUGUGUGUCUUUCUAAAUGAAGGCAUGUUGUCUUUGCUUUUGGCUCCUUUCUGCGUCAGUUCCACUUGGGAUCGCGGGACCAAUUCACGCGCGAACGACAUUGUAAAUUACGCCAGCGGAGGAACCGCAAGUGGUAUGCAAAGAAGGGAGACGCGUUGAAGGGGAGUGAGGACUUUUUGUUUGCGUGUGUCUGUGUGUGCGUCUGUGUGUGUAUGCGCUUCAGUGACGGCAUUCGCUGUCACAGCGCAUAAAAAAAAAAGAAACGAGAUGUGAAUUUCAGGCGCGCGAUUUCGUCU
RNAcentral lists this unclassified non-coding RNA (4299 nucleotides) under Leishmania donovani. RNAcentral describes it as "gene:LdHU3.36.4060(CDS-product:hypothetical_prote in_conserved)". Lineage: Eukaryota; Euglenozoa; Kinetoplastea; Trypanosomatida; Trypanosomatidae. The record is from RNAcentral.